RNAcentral lists this microRNA precursor (62 nucleotides) under Podarcis lilfordi (Lilford's wall lizard). The record is from RNAcentral. Lineage: Eukaryota; Metazoa; Chordata; Lepidosauria; Squamata; Lacertidae.
AUAUAUAUAUACACACACACACGAACGUGUGUAUAUAUAUGUGUGUGUGUGUGUAUAUAUGU